GAAGCCCCUCGGAGCGCCGAUCUGCCUGCUGAGCCUGCGAGCAGUGCAACCUCAAGAGCAUUUCAUAACCUUGCUGCGCUUCAGUUCCGUGUUCACAAAACAAGGGUGAGUUGAAAAACUAUUUCAUUGGUCCGCUCCUCUAGAGGUGGCUGGAACCUACUGUCCCAGUAGUCAUGGAUAUGAAACAGAGAUGCCGCUGCGUAGAGUGGAAGCCAGCCUGGUCACGUGGAGAGGACUGACGGGGAACCCGUGUGAGCACCUGAGAGGUUGAACAAGAAGCCAGAAGAGAAAACUGAUCAGGAGCUGCCAAUUUUUUCCCUCUACUAGGACUGGUCCCUGUGAUACACACAGUGUGCGGAACACUCAGAUCCUGUACAGCAAUAUUAGAUUUGCUCAGAACUCCAGUUACAGCCUGUCACUGCAGAGAAGUCGAGGCAAAGCUUAAUGAUGUCAACUAGUCAAGAACUGAGAGAGAAA
Molecule: long non-coding RNA, 477 nt
Filed under: Rattus norvegicus (Norway rat)
Lineage: Eukaryota; Metazoa; Chordata; Mammalia; Rodentia; Muridae
Description: long non-coding RNA NONRATT026266
Source: RNAcentral